This 494-nucleotide ribosomal RNA is filed under the name uncultured bacterium. RNAcentral describes it as "partial 16S ribosomal RNA". It matches the Rfam family "Bacterial small subunit ribosomal RNA", at positions 28 to 507 of the family's 1533-position model. The record is from RNAcentral.
GACGAACGCUGGCGGCGUGCUUAACACAUGCAAGUCGAACGGAAAGGCCUGCUUUCCCUUGUGGAUUGCGGGUACUCGAGUGGCGAACGGGUGAGUAACACGUGAGUGAUCUGCCCCCAACUUGGGUAUAAGCCUGGGAAACUGGGUCUAAUUCCCGAUAGGACUGCAGGGUGGUGCCUGUGGUGGAAAACGAUUUUCUAGUGGUUGGGGAUGAGCUCGCGGCCUAUCAGCUUGUUGGUGGGGUAAUGGCCUACCAAGGCGGCGACGGGUAGCCGGCCUGAGAGGGUGGACGGGCACAUUGGGACUGAGAUACGGCCCAGACUCCUACGGGAGGCAGGAGUGGGGAAUAUUGCACCAUGGGCGGAAGCCUGAUGCAGCGACGGCGCGUGGGGGAUGACGGCCUUCGGGUUGUAAACUCCUUUCGACCGCGAGGAAGCCACAUGGUUGGAAGGGUGGUGACGGUAGUGGUAGAAGAAGCACCGGCUAACUACGUG